This 837-nucleotide ribosomal RNA is filed under the name uncultured archaeon. RNAcentral's name for it is "bacterial SSU rRNA". It matches the Rfam family "Archaeal small subunit ribosomal RNA", at positions 21 to 859 of the family's 1478-position model. The record is from RNAcentral.
GGUCACUGCUAUCGGUGUUCGUCUAAGCCAUGCGAGUCAUAUGUUCUUCGGAACAUGGCGUACUGCUCAGUAACACGUGGAUAACCUGCCCUUGGGUCUGGCAUAACCCCGGGAAACUGGGGAUAAUACCGGAUAACGCAUAUCUGCUGGAAUUCUUUAUGCGUGAAAUGGAUUCGUCUGCCCAAGGAUGGGUCUGCGGCCUAUCAGGUAGUAGUAGGUGUAAUGUACCUACUAGCCGACGACGGGUACGGGUUGUGAGAGCAAGAGCCCGGAGAUGGAUUCUGAGACAUGAAUCCAGGCCCUACGGGGCGCAGCAGGCGCGAAAACUUUACAAUGCGGGAAACCGUGAUAAGGGGACACCGAGUGCCAGCAUUAUAUGUUGGCUGUCCGGGUGUGUAAAAUACACCUGUUAGCAAGGGCCGGGCAAGACCGGUGCCAGCCGCCGCGGUAACACCGGCGGCCCGAGUGGUGAUCGUGUUUAUUGGGUCUAAAGGGUCCGUAGCCGGUUUGGUCAGUCCUCCGGGAAAUCUGACGGCUUAACCGUUAGGCUUUCGGGGGAUACUGCCAGACUUGGAACCGGGAGAGGUAAGAGGUACUACAGGGGUAGGAGUGAAAUCUUGUAAUCCCUGUGGGACCACCUGUGGCGAAGGCGUCUUACCAGAACGGGUUCGACGGUGGGGGACGAAAGCUGGGGGCACGAACCGGAUUAGAUACCCGGGUAGUCCCAGCCGUAGACGAUGCUCGCUAGGUGUCAGGCAUGGCGCGACCGUGUCUGGUGCCGCAGGGAAGCCGUGAAGCGAGCCACCUGGGAAGUACGGCCGCAAGGCUGAAACUUAA